Long non-coding RNA from Solenopsis invicta (red fire ant), 1067 nucleotides. RefSeq lists it as uncharacterized. The record is from RefSeq and is a predicted model, not a curated record. NCBI's taxonomy places the organism in Eukaryota, Metazoa, Arthropoda, Insecta, Hymenoptera, Formicidae. The transcript is spliced from 4 exons.
UGGUUCAGUUUUGCAUUUUAGAGUGUGGAAUAAUACGUAAAACGACAGAUUGAAUAACGGAGAAUUCCUGAAUGUUUACUUAAACACGUUCAUCAAUAAUUAUUAAUUUGAUUUUCAAGAAAUAGAACAUCCCGCAUAUCUUUAUUUAACGGUAUCUUAAAUAGUUCGCGGCGACAACGUACCGCGUAACAUUUUUCGAAAUGUACAGCGGUGUUGUUUACAAGUGUGUUUGUUAUCAUUCGCGCGGCGACCGCGAGCGGUGAGGGCGGUGAGAGCGGUGAGGUGGCGCGCGCUCACGCGUGUAGGUGAUUUUGCGAACGGCUCUGUGUAUCAUUGCGCGAUUAGCUCUACGAGACGCAAUUGCGACAAAUAUUGGCGGGCAUCAAACACGAUUCCUAGCAAGUAAUUCGUUAGUGCGAUCAAUUACGUUUUACGAUUAAACUGUUGACCAAGCUUUGUAUUUAAGUACGCACCGCCAGCCGGUGUGAAGUUGACACUGCUUACGCGUUUCGCGUGAUUCGUUACUCUUUACGAGAAAUUGCACUUUACGAGACGUUGCAAGUGGAGUAGAUAUCUAACCUAACUUCAGUCUUUCUAUCGCAAUAUAAUGGGACGCGUAUUAUACAGAAAAAAAUACCGUACAACGUAUUACGCGCUUAUUGUGUGUUAAUCAUUAGUUCGUGAGUGUUUUUUUUUUGCGAGUGUCGUGUAAGUGCCUAAGGAGGACAAGAUGCUUUGACAAUCAUCCUGAGAGGAGGAGGAGGUCUAGGAAAGACAUCAGGCGCCAGCGGAGCAACCUUGCGAUCUACGUAGUCAACGUAGCAGAUAACUCCGCUGUUGCGCAUCAGUCGUAUCACCGCAGCUUCAUGGCUGAGUAACUCCGCUUGUUGCGCAUCGGGUCGGUGAGUUAGUUUCUUAUGAUAUUUGCACAUGUAUCGUUUGCAGGAUUAAAGGAAAGGACACUGAAAGAAAGAGUUUGGUAACAGCUACCAAAUGUUGGGUGAAAUAAAUUUAAAUAAUCAUAUAUUUGAUUAAUAUAAUAAAAAAUAAUUUUAUUUUUUUAAACA